UAUAUGGUAAUGUAAUUUGCAUAAAAAUUUUUGAAGUUUUCAGUGAUAGAUACUCUAUCCCAUAUAA
This 67-nucleotide transfer RNA is filed under the name Heterodoxus macropus (wallaby louse). RNAcentral describes it as "tRNA-Gln". The record is from RNAcentral. Lineage: Eukaryota; Metazoa; Arthropoda; Insecta; Psocodea; Boopidae.